RNAcentral lists this ribosomal RNA (468 nucleotides) under uncultured bacterium. RNAcentral describes it as "partial 16S ribosomal RNA". It matches the Rfam family "Bacterial small subunit ribosomal RNA", at positions 28 to 507 of the family's 1533-position model. The record is from RNAcentral.
GACGAACGCUGGCGGCGUGCUUAACACAUGCAACUCGAACGGAAAGGCCCUGCUUUUGUGGGGUGCUCGAGUGGCGAACGGGUGAGUAACACGUGAGUAACCUGCCCUUGACUUUGGGAUAACUUCAGGAAACUGGGGCUAAUACCGGAUAGGAGCUCCUGCUGCAUGGUGGGGGUUGGAAAGUUUCGGCGGUUGGGGAUGGACUCGCGGCUUAUCAGCUUGUUGGUGGGGUAGUGGCUUACCAAGGCUUUGACGGGUAGCCGGCCUGAGAGGGUGACCGGCCACAUUGGGACUGAGAUACGGCCCAGACUCCUACGGGAGGCAGCAGUGGGGAAUAUUGCACAAUGGGCGGAAGCCUGAUGCAGCAACGCCGCGUGCGGGAUGACGGCCUUCGGGUUGUAAACCGCUUUCGCCUGUGACGAAGCGUGAGUGACGGUAAUGGGUAAAGAAGCACCGGCUAACUACGUG